This 72-nucleotide transfer RNA is filed under the name Planctomyces sp. SH-PL14. It matches the Rfam family "tRNA". From Rfam's summary of the family: Transfer RNA (tRNA) molecules are approximately 80 nucleotides in length. Their secondary structure includes four short double-helical elements and three loops (D, anti-codon, and T loops). Further hydrogen bonds mediate the characteristic L-shaped molecular structure. tRNAs have two regions of fundamental functional importance: the anti-codon, which is responsible for specific mRNA codon recognition, and the 3' end, to which the tRNAs corresponding amino acid is attached (by aminoacyl-tRNA synthetases). tRNAs cope with the degeneracy of the genetic code in two manners: having more than one tRNA (with a specific anti-codon) for a particular amino acid; and 'wobble' base-pairing, i.e. permitting non-standard base-pairing at the 3rd anti-codon position. The record is from Rfam by way of RNAcentral. Lineage: Bacteria; Pseudomonadati; Planctomycetota; Planctomycetia; Planctomycetales; Planctomycetaceae.
GCCUUGAUGGUGAAAUGGACAUCAUGUCCCGCUUCGAACGGGGCGUUCCAGGUUCGAGUCCUGGUCGAGGCA